GAUGAACGCUAGCGACAGGCUUAACACAUGCAAGUCGAGGGGCAGCGAGAAAGUGCUUGCACUUUUGUCGGCGACCGGCGCACGGGUGAGUAACACGUAUGCAACCUGCCCUUGUCAGGGGGAUAAGCGGGGGAAACCCCGUCUAAUACCGCAUAUAUGAUUUGGAGGCAUCUCUGAAUCAGGAAAGGAGCAAUCCGCUGAUAGAUGGGCUUGCGUCUGAUUAGCUAGUUGGUGGGGUAACGGCCUACCAAGGCGACGAUCAGUAGCCGAGCUGAGAGGCUCAACGGCCACAUUGGGACUGAGACACGGCCCAAACUCCUACGGGAGGCAGCAGUGGGGAAUAUUGCACAAUGGGGGAAACCCUGAUGCAGCGACGCCGCGUGAGUGAAGAAGUAUUUCGGUAUGUAAAGCUCUAUCAGCAAGGAAGAAAAUGACGGUACUUGACUAAGAAGCCCCGGCUAACUACGUG
This 469-nucleotide ribosomal RNA is filed under the name uncultured bacterium. Its description in RNAcentral is "bacterial SSU rRNA". It matches the Rfam family "Bacterial small subunit ribosomal RNA", at positions 28 to 507 of the family's 1533-position model. The record is from RNAcentral.